CGGGAACUCUGAGACAGGUGCUGCAUGGCUGUCGUCAGCUCGUGUUGUGAAAUGUUGGGUUAAGUCCCGCAACGAGCGCAACCCUUAUCCUUUGUUGCCAGCGAGUAAUGUCGGGAACUCAAAGGAGACUGCCGGUGAUAAACCGGAGGAAGGUGGGGAUGACGUCAAGUCAUCAUGGCCCUUACGAGUAGGGCUACACACGUGCUACAAUGGCAUAUACAAAGAGAAGCGAACUCGCGAGAGCAAGCGGACCUCAUAAAGUAUGUCGUAGUCCGGAUUGGAGUCUGCAACUCGACUCCAUGAAGUCGGAAUCGCUAGUAAUCGUAGAUCAGAAUGCUACGGUGAAUACGUUCCCGGGUCUUGUACACA
Molecule: ribosomal RNA, 369 nt
Filed under: Rahnella sp. PB-2013
Lineage: Bacteria; Pseudomonadati; Pseudomonadota; Gammaproteobacteria; Enterobacterales; Yersiniaceae
Description: bacterial SSU rRNA
Rfam family: Bacterial small subunit ribosomal RNA
Source: RNAcentral